UACGAAGGGGCUAGCGUUGCUCGGAAUCACUGGGCGUAAAGGGUGCGUAGGCGGGUCUUUUAAGUCAGGGGUGAAAUCCUGGAGCUCAACUCCAGAACUGCCUUUGAUACUGGCGAUCUCGAGUCCGGGAGAGGUGAGUGGAACUGCGAGUGUAGAGGUGAAAUUCGUAGAUAUUCGCAAGAACACCAGUGGCGAAGGCGGAGCUCACCUUG
Molecule: ribosomal RNA, 212 nt
Filed under: uncultured bacterium
Lineage: Bacteria
Description: partial 16S ribosomal RNA
Rfam family: Bacterial small subunit ribosomal RNA
Source: RNAcentral